Molecule: non-coding RNA, 27 nt
Filed under: Rattus norvegicus (Norway rat)
Lineage: Eukaryota; Metazoa; Chordata; Mammalia; Rodentia; Muridae
Source: RNAcentral
UACCAAAGCAGAGAAAGCCUGGGAGGU